UAGAUACCCUGGUAGUCCACGCCGUAAACGAUGUCGACUAGCCGUUGGGCUCCUUGAGAGCUUGGUGGCGCAGCUAACGCAUUAAGUCGACCGCCUGGGGAGUACGGCCGCAAGGUUAAAACUCAAAUGAAUUGACGGGGGCCCGCACAAGCGGUGGAGCAUGUGGUUUAAUUCGAAGCAACGCGAAGAACCUUACCUGGCCUUGACAUCCUGCGAACCUUUCAGAGAUGAGAGGGUGCCUUCGGGAACG
RNAcentral lists this ribosomal RNA (250 nucleotides) under uncultured bacterium. Its description in RNAcentral is "partial 16S ribosomal RNA". It matches the Rfam family "Bacterial small subunit ribosomal RNA", at positions 779 to 1028 of the family's 1533-position model. The record is from RNAcentral.